CGGGACGUGGCGCAGUCUGGUAGCGCACUUGACUGGGGGUCAAGGGGUCGUAGGUUCAAAUCCUAUCGUUCCGA
Molecule: transfer RNA, 74 nt
Filed under: Fidelibacterota bacterium
Lineage: Bacteria; Pseudomonadati; Fidelibacterota
Description: Candidatus Marinimicrobia bacterium tRNA-Pro
Rfam family: tRNA
About the family: Transfer RNA (tRNA) molecules are approximately 80 nucleotides in length.
Source: RNAcentral